This 947-nucleotide ribosomal RNA is filed under the name Chryseobacterium sp. RNAcentral's name for it is "bacterial SSU rRNA". It matches the Rfam family "Bacterial small subunit ribosomal RNA", at positions 94 to 1047 of the family's 1533-position model. The record is from RNAcentral. Lineage: Bacteria; Pseudomonadati; Bacteroidota; Flavobacteriia; Flavobacteriales; Weeksellaceae.
AGCGGCGUACGGGUGCGGAACACGUGUGCAACCUGCCUUUAUCAGGGGGAUAGCCUUUCGAAAGGAAGAUUAAUACCCCAUAAUAUUUUGAGUGGCAUCACUUAAAAUUGAAAACUGAGGUGGAUAAAGAUGGGCACGCGCAAGAUUAGAUAGUUGGUGAGGUAACGGCUCACCAAGUCGAUGAUCUUUAGGGGGCCUGAGAGGGUGAUCCCCCACACUGGUACUGAGACACGGACCAGACUCCUACGGGAGGCAGCAGUGAGGAAUAUUGGACAAUGGGUUAGCGCCUGAUCCAGCCAUCCCGCGUGAAGGACGACGGCCCUAUGGGUUGUAAACUUCUUUUGUACAGGGAUAAACCUAUCUACGUGUAGAUAGCUGAAGGUACUGUACGAAUAAGCACCGGCUAACUCCGUGCCAGCAGCCGCGGUAAUACGGAGGGUGCAAGCGUUAUCCGGAUUUAUUGGGUUUAAAGGGUCCGUAGGCGGAUGUGUAAGUCAGUGGUGAAAUCUCACAGCUUAACUGUGAAACUGCCAUUGAUACUGCAUGUCUUGAGUAAGGUAGAAGUGGCUGGAAUAAGUAGUGUAGCGGUGAAAUGCAUAGAUAUUACUUAGAACACCAAUUGCGAAGGCAGGUCACUAUGUCUUAACUGACGCUGAUGGACGAAAGCGUGGGGAGCGAACAGGAUUAGAUACCCUGGUAGUCCACGCUGUAAACGAUGCUUACUCGUUUUUGGGCUUUUAAAGUUCAGAGACUAAGCGAAAGUGAUAAGUAAGCCACCUGGGGAGUACGAACGCAAGUUUGAAACUCAAAGGAAUUGACGGGGGCCCGCACAAGCGGUGGAUUAUGUGGUUUAAUUCGAUGAUACGCGAGGAACCUUACCAAGGCUUAAAUGGAAUUGAUCGGUUUAGAAAUAGACCUUCCUUCGGCAAUUUUCAAGGUGCUGCAUG